AGGGCCAACAUGGCCGCCGCCGCCGCUGGGAGCUGAAGUGCCGCCGCCGCCGGGCAGCCGGGGGGAAUCCGCCCGCAUCGCCGCCCUCGCCGGCCGGGCGGCCGUGGGGCCCAGAGCGCCGGAGGCCAGGGCUGGGGCGGCACCGCGCAGCGGCCACGGGGUCCCGUUAGAGCAGCGCCCGGCGGCUAUGCCAAGAGCCCGGAGCGGCCGGAGGAGCAGAGGGGCCGGCGGGAGGGAGGAAGUAGACCUUUCUGCGAGUACGAGCCAACCGGCAGACCCGACUGAAUGCUCGGAUUGGGAAAAUGAAACGGAGGAAGCAAGAUGAAGGGCAGAGGGAAGGCUCCUGCAUGGCUGAGGAUGAUGCUGUGGACAUCGAGCAUGAGAACAACAACCGCUUUGAGGAGUAUGAGUGGUGUGGACAGAAGCGGAUACGGGCCACCACUCUCCUGGAAGGUGGCUUCCGAGGCUCUGGCUUCAUCAUGUGCAGCGGCAAAGAGAACCCGGACAGUGAUGCUGACUUGGAUGUGGAUGGGGAUGACACUCUGGAGUAUGGGAAGCCACAAUACACGGAGGCUGAUGUCAUCCCCUGCACAGGCGAGGAGCCUGGUGAAGCCAAGGAGAGAGAGGCACUCCGGGGCGCAGUCCUAAAUGGCGGCCCUCCCAGCACGCGCAUCACACCUGAGUUCUCUAAAUGGGCCAGUGAUGAGAUGCCAUCCACCAGCAAUGGUGAAAGCAGCAAGCAGGAGGCCAUGCAGAAGACCUGCAAGAACAGUGACAUCGAGAAAAUCACCGAAGAUUCAGCUGUGACCACGUUUGAGGCUCUGAAGGCUCGGGUCAGAGAACUUGAACGGCAGCUAUCUCGUGGGGACCGUUACAAAUGCCUCAUCUGCAUGGACUCGUACUCGAUGCCCCUAACGUCCAUCCAGUGUUGGCACGUGCACUGCGAGGAGUGCUGGCUGCGGACCCUGGUGAGGUGGCAUGGGGGUCGGGGAAUGGGAGGCCGCUCCGGGCACUGCCCAGAUGUCUGUGCUUAUGCCUGAGCCUGCCUGGGGGAAGUGGGGAGCACGGGCCAAAGGAGAACAGAGCCAGGAGCCAGGAUAUUUACCCCCAGGAUAUUUACUCCCAGGCUCGCUGCCUCUCCUCCCCAACUACAGGUUUAGGAACUUCUUCCCCUCCACGAGUUCACUGCAUUCUCCCUUCCCCUCCCCAUGUCCCCCGAAGGCCCACUGCAUCACACAGACUGGUGAGGCCUGGGGUCAGGAGGAGGCUGGCUGUGGGUAAACAGGACCAGGGCCUUGGCCCCUCCCCCUCCCAUUACUAAGCUCCUUCUGCUCCUGCCCCUGUUCUUCGCUCAGGAGCAGCCAUUAAAAUGUCGCCCGGAGACAGCAAUAAAAGGCUCGGACGUGGGCUCUGUGUCCUGAUCAAAGGCCGCGUGUAAUCUCGUUAGGGCUGCGGCUGCCACAGCUGGACCCAGCCUUGUUCUCAUUACCGGGGCUCCUGCUGCGGGGCUGGCCAGGCGGUUUGAUCCUGGCGUUCCCGCAACACAGGAGCGUGCCUGCCUGCUCACAGAAGCUGCCUGUGCAUCCCCAGCCUGGGCUGACAGGACCAAGGUCCCAGCACACACUGGUGCAGAGAGACAUGGCUGCAGGCCCAGGUGCUCACAUGCGCACACGUGGCACAUUGUGUAGACCAGAGCCCUCCCUGUUCUCCCUGCAGGGUGCCAAGAAGCUCUGCCCUCAGUGCAACACGAUCACAGCGCCCGGAGACCUGCGGAGGAUCUACUUGUGAGCUAUCUGCCCCAGGCAGGCCUUGCCUCCAGCAGCCCCACCUGCCCCCAGCCUCUGUGACAGUGACCCUCUCCCUUUGUACAUACUUGCACACAGGUUCCCCAUGUACAUACAUGCACAUACUCACACAUGCGUACACACACACACACACAUUUACACACGCAGGACUCUGGAGCCAGAGUAGAGGCUGUGGCCCAGGCACUACCUGCUGGCUCCCACCUAUGGUUUGGGGGCCAUACCUGUUCCAGCUCUGUUCCCAGGGUGGGGCAGGGAGGUGGGGGUUGGGGGAGUAGUGGGGCACGGCUCCUAAGAUCCAGCCCCCCGACUGACAGACGGGACAGACAGACAUGCAAACACCAGACUGAAGCACAUGUAAUAUAGACCGUGUAUGUUUACAAUGUUGUGUAUAAAUGGGACAACUCCUCGCCCUCUACCUGUCCCCUUCCCCUUUGGUUGUAUGAUUUUCUUCUUUUUUAAGAACCCCUGGAAGCAGUGCCUCCUUCAGGGUUGGCUGGGGGCUCGGCCCAUCCACCUCUUGGGGUACCUGCCUCUCCCUCUCCUGUGGUGUCCCUUCCCCCUCCCAUGUGCUCGGUGUUCAGUGGUGUAUAUUUCUUCUCCCAGACAUGGGGCACACGCCCCAAGGGACGUGAUCCUCUCCUUAGUCUUAGCUCAUGGGGCUCUUUAUAAGGAGUUGGGGGGUAGAGGCAGGAAAUGGGAACCGAGCUGAAGCAGAGGCUGAGUUGGGGGGCUAGAGGACAGUGCUCCUGGCCACCCAGCCUCUGCUGAGAACCAUUCCUGGGAUUAGAGCUGCCUUUCCCAGGGAAAAAGUGUCGUCUCCCCGACCCUCCCGUGGGCCCUAUGGUGUGAUGCUGUGUCUGUAUAUUCUAUACAAAGGUACUUGUCCUUUCCCUUUGUAAACUACAUUUGACAUGGAUUAAACCAGUAUAAACAGUU
This 2741-nucleotide small RNA is filed under the name Pongo abelii (Sumatran orangutan). RNAcentral's name for it is "processed transcript". The record is from RNAcentral. Lineage: Eukaryota; Metazoa; Chordata; Mammalia; Primates; Hominidae.